GGGAGAGCAACUUCAACUACCCAUUACAAUAAUAUACUAAAAUUACAAUAUACUUUACAACAACCAGUUGGUUACUUUUACAAAGCCCCACCAUCCACUAUGCAAAGGAUAAAGGGAGUCCCCACAAUCCCACAACAAAAUGGUGGAAGAAGAGCAGCUAAUCAUAGAUAACUUUGAAAAAGAAACUCACCUCAUCCGAAAAUGAUGCUAAUUGAUUGGGUGCUUUCAUACGUUUACCUUUCUUCAAGGAACGAUGACAUCAUGCCUUGUUUGACGAAACUCCAGAAAGGUAAUUAAAAAAAAGGGCCAAUGGUUGGGAUAAAAGCAAAAGUUGUGGCAUCUGACAUUGAUUGCAUUGCCACCAAUUACACAGGAAAAUACAAAUGGAUGGUAGGUAAGGAUACAAAGGAGGGGGGACACAAGGCUAUUGGGAGUUCUUAGAGGCACGUGCAACGAAUUGAAGGUCUAUGAUGGGGCUGCUGCUUCAGGCUUGACCAGGGACUGGUCAUCCGGUUGUUGAGUAGGAUAGAUGAGUGCAGCAAGUGAUAUGGGCAUGAUGCAGAGUGAUUUAGACUGAAGGUAUUGCAUGGCUGCACCGACGUCUUCCUCCAUGAGCUUAGCAACCUCUCGUUCUGUGUCAACAUUGGACCACUUAUCCCAUAUAUGCUGGUUGGAUCUACUUUCACCACUGUCCCCCUCCACAGAUUGUAAUGGAAUGUCAGCAACAAGUUGUGCCACUGCACUGGCUCCUCCCAGCCUACUCAUGCUCAGUACCUUAACUUGAAGCCUUAAGAACUUCACAUAGUCCAGAAUCUCAUCAAGCAUUGCGGCCCUAUCUGUCUUAUUGCAGCUGGGUACCAGUUCCUGCAAAGCCUUUAUUCUUUCUGAUAUCCUCUCUCUUCUCAGCCUCUCAGCAAUGCUAUGUGGAUCUGUGGCUUGUCCCCUCCGAGCUCGAACCCUAGGACGAAUUGAAGGUGGGUGUGGUACAGUUACUGUUGUGCUCGUUGUUGGUGGGCCUUGAAAAGGCUGGACAUGGUGAACAGAAGGCACAGAGUGACGAACUGCAUGAGAUUGCAAGUGUUCUAGACCUGCAUAUAGAUUUCCGAUAUUCAUUCCAUCUCUUUCAUGCUUCACUGCAUAAGGACCUGCAUCGCCGACGUCAUCACGGCCGUUAUCCAAGCUUAAUCCCAGCGGAAACAAAGGUUGCUGUAGGCCAGCAGCAGCGGCAGAGUUAAGAUGAGAUACGGCAGACGCCGAGGUAAACGACGUCGUCUCUGAUGGAGUGCCAACAUCAGCAACCGGCAAGCCAGAGUAGGGAGGAAUAGCGAGAAUUUGCUCGAGGAAAUCGUCGGCAUAGCCUUCCGGUUGGUUUGCUGCCAUGCCGGAGAUUUAUCCGGCGAAAUUAAUUUUUUUUCCGGCGAGAAGAAGUUAAGGGUUUUGAGGAACUGAAA
Molecule: unclassified non-coding RNA, 1451 nt
Filed under: Hevea brasiliensis (rubber tree)
Lineage: Eukaryota; Viridiplantae; Streptophyta; Magnoliopsida; Malpighiales; Euphorbiaceae
Source: RNAcentral